RNAcentral lists this ribosomal RNA (423 nucleotides) under uncultured bacterium. Its description in RNAcentral is "bacterial SSU rRNA". It matches the Rfam family "Bacterial small subunit ribosomal RNA", at positions 207 to 622 of the family's 1533-position model. The record is from RNAcentral.
AAGACCUUGCACUUUUGGAGCGGCCGAUGUCUGAUUAGCUAGUUGGUGGGGUAAUGGCCUACCAAAGCUUCGAUCAGUAGCUGGUCUGAGAGGACGGCCAGCCACACUGGGACUGAGACACGGCCCAGACUCCUACGGGAGGCAGCAGUGGGGAAUUUUGGACAAUGGGCGCAAGCCUGGUCCAGCCAUGCCGCGUGAGUGAAGAAGGCCUUCGGGUUGUAAAGCUCUUUCAGUCGGGAAGAAAAGGUUGCGACUAAUAAUCGCAAUUCAUGACGGUACCGGAAGAAGAAGCACCGGCUAACUACGUGCCAGCAGCCGCGGUAAUACGUAGGGUGCGAGCGUUAAUCGGAAUUACUGGGCGUAAAGGGUGCGCAGGCGGUUUUGUAAGUCAGAUGUGAAAUCCCCGGGCUUAACCUGGGAACU